This 497-nucleotide ribosomal RNA is filed under the name uncultured bacterium. Its description in RNAcentral is "partial 16S ribosomal RNA". It matches the Rfam family "Bacterial small subunit ribosomal RNA", at positions 28 to 507 of the family's 1533-position model. The record is from RNAcentral.
GACGAACGCUGGCGGCGUGCCUAAUACAUGCAAGUUGAGCGCUGAAGGCUGUUUCUUGUACCAACUGGAUGAGCAGCGAACGGGUGAGUAACGCGUGGGGAAUCUGCCUUUGAGCGGGGGACAACAUUUGGAAACGAAUGCUAAUACCGCAUAAAAACUUUAAACACAAGUUUUAAGUUUGAAAGAUGCAAUUGCAUCACUCAAAGAUUAUCCCGCGUUUUAUUAGCUAGUUGGUGAGGUAAAGGCUCACCAAGGCGAUGAUACAUAGCCGACCUGAGAGGGUGAUCGGCCACAUCGGGACUGAGACACGGCCCAAACUCCUACGGGAGGCAGCAGUAGGGAAUCUUCGGCAAUGGACGAAAGUCUGACCGAGCAACGCCGCGUGAGUGAAGAAGGUUUUCGGAUCGUAAAACUCUGUUGGUAGAGAAGAACGUUGGUGAGAGUGGAAAGCUCAUCAAGUGACGGUAACUACCCAGAAAGGGACGGCUAACUACGUG